This is a non-coding RNA of Paramuricea clavata, 554 nucleotides long. The record is from the annotation of a GenBank genome assembly. NCBI's taxonomy places the organism in Eukaryota, Metazoa, Cnidaria, Anthozoa, Malacalcyonacea, Plexauridae.
GCAUAUCACCGUAUCAACGCUACUAUUUUGUUACGUUUUGUUCCAAAAAUGUUGUAUGCCUCUGGGGAAUUGCUUAAUUGUUAUGUCUUAUGGAGUUAUAUGGUUUGAUUGUGUUUCAUAUAAUUCUCAGUUUACUCUGAACUUGCCAAGAUUAAGAAAAGGCAAAAGAGUUUGGGUGUUCUUAACAAGAUUUCAGAACGUUGCAGAAGUUAGAAGAGCUUCACAAUCCGUUGUGACUUGCAGCAUGCCCUAAUUUAGAACUACGAACGAUCCAUGACGAUCCUUCGCGAUGCAGCUAGUGGUCUCAUGAAAUAAGGAAACGUAUUCGUGCUAGGAACACAUGCGAAUUUCGGACGAAUAAAUCCUGCUUGUAUUUUGUAGAUAUAAUAAUACUUUGUUUCAUAAUAAACAAUUUGUCAAGUGUCAUUUAUUUACUGGUAAUAGUGCAUGUUUCAGUCGGACAAAUCUUGAUUAAUAUUUGAUACGCCGUUUUUUGCAUAUUUCAGACACAUCCAGAAAUAUGCUCCCUAUUUUAAAGAUUAAUAUGUCCGCGA